RNAcentral lists this long non-coding RNA (357 nucleotides) under Hordeum vulgare. RNAcentral describes it as "long non-coding RNA (HVUL_LNC000903)". Lineage: Eukaryota; Viridiplantae; Streptophyta; Magnoliopsida; Poales; Poaceae. The record is from RNAcentral.
UGGGAUAUGGAGGGGUUAGAGGCUUUCAUGACAAUGUUGGGAGGUUGACAUUAACAGGUGGUAGGCAGCGAGGCAUAGUGGCAAAAACUAGAUAACUAGCAUGGCAAUGAUAGUAAUGAUAGCUAGGGAAAUGAUCAUCUUCCUUGGGAUCCCGCUUGGAAGAAGAACGAAUCCAUGAAGUAGACCAACUGACGUAGUCGAACAGAUCCUCACACUCUGUAGCGGUUGGAACUCUAUUGAGAAGAAACAAUCCAGAAACAAUAAUCAACACACGAUAAAGUCCAGAACAUAUGCAUGACAUGAUGCACAAGCAAGUAUGAUGCAAGUCCAAUUAAUUAUGCACGACAUGGGAAACAC